RNAcentral lists this ribosomal RNA (405 nucleotides) under uncultured bacterium. RNAcentral describes it as "bacterial SSU rRNA". It matches the Rfam family "Bacterial small subunit ribosomal RNA", at positions 355 to 775 of the family's 1533-position model. The record is from RNAcentral.
UGGGGAAUAUUGGGCAAUGGGGGAAACCCUGACCCAGCGACGCCGCGUGAGGGAAGAAGGCCUUAGGGUCGUAAACCCCUGUUGUGUGGGAAGAAGAGCGUGACGGUACCACACGAGGAAGUCCCGGCUAACUACGUGCCAGCAGCCGCGGUAAUACGUAGGGGACGAGCGUUGUCCGGAUUCACUGGGCGUAAAGGGCGCGUAGGCGGUCAUUUAAGUCAGCUGUGAAAUGGUUUGGCUUAACCGGAUCAUGCGGUCGAAACUGGAUGACUGGAGUGCUGGAGAGGCAAGUGGAAUUCCCAGUGUAGCGGUGAAAUGCGUAGAUAUUGGGAAGAACACCGGUGGCGAAAGCGACUUGCUGGCCAGCAACUGACGCUGAGGCGCGAAAGCCAGGGGAGCAAACGG